UUUUAAAUGGGAAUUGACCCCAGUGCGAUUGCUCCGUACUAGAAACUGACUGAACGUCGUUACGAGAGCGCACAGAGUUAGGAGCGCUGAUGUUUUAAGCGAGUUCAUUUUGUCCCUCAACGCAUCUGGGGAACAAACUGCCAAAAAUCGCUACCGAUGCACGAGAAGAAUUGCGGGCAGGAGUCAAACACACAGAUAAGGAGCUAUGCAGUAAUGCAGGGUGCAGAAAUAACCCCGCUUGCAGCUAAACGUAAAAGAAAUAGAAUAGCCUUAGGUUUGUCAGCACAAAGCUACACACGCACCUUGGUCCUAGCAUCAAACCCAUGGCUUCAGAGUCAACUUGUAACAAAUCUGUUGACAAAGUCAUGCUGGAAAGCAGCCAAAACACUGCACCCGAGAUCCAAAGAUGGAAAUACUUCAUAACGAUCCUGUCUGUAGUUGCCUGCUUUAAAGUUUGCACCUAUGUUGGCAACAGGGUUGAUACUACAUCGAUUGCUUGUUUAAAAGACGUUGGAACCAGUGCAAAGUUGAACGUUCUACAAGUCCUGAUUCCUACAGAAAGGCACGUGAUGAUAUUUCACGCAGGGGCAGUAAGACUUACAGUAAUUCUGCUAUUUGAGGUGUGCCAGAUGCAUUCAGGAAAUACACAGUGUUAAAAGGAGGACAGAACUGUAGCUACUAUUGCCUUCAGCUUUUAGACAAAGAGCAUUUUACGCUCACAGAUCAGUCCUAUGCAUGGAAGAGGAAAAAUCAAGCUUUCUUCUUUUUCAGCUCCUAAUCUGUCUCCAACUUUGAACUGAUUGACUUCAGCUGGAUAAAGUACAACUGAGUUGCAAUCAGACCAUGCUUUAACUCUUCAAAAACUUGCUUGUCAGUCUCACAAGGCAGGGCUGCGUACUACUUCAUCAGUUCACUGCAUUCUCUUUAAGGCUUUGGCAACACAUAACUGCUUAAAAAUUUAAGACAUUAGAGUGCAUUCGGCUUUGACACAGGUUAUUGAUUUCAUAUUUUAUGAGAAAAUAUUUAAAUAAGACUUCUCUAAAAGAAAUGUAAACGUCUUUCCUCAUUUGUUCCAGUGCAGUACUGUGCACAGAGUCGAGGGAUCAUUUUAGAGGUAAGGCAGUGCCAUAUCAUGCUACAACGCCAAACCCGGAGGCAUGAACAGAUGUUCAGUAAGCAUAUCUGCAAGUAAUACUUCUGAUGUACUCCAGAAGCUGGUUCUUUGUACAUGUACGUGCAUAAUAUUCCUGUCCCUUUCCAUGCCUCCUUGUGAAAGAUGAUCAGAAACAGACUUUUGUCUGUGCAUUGUAAAGGUCUUCUAUUGGUGGCAAUCCAGUUUUGAGUGCUAUUUUUUGUGGGGUCUCAGUCCCUUUCCUGAUAUGACCCGCUCUGAUGGGGGAAAGAAGGGAAAGUCCUCUGGCAAGGAAGCCAGAAACUUAAGUAAUUCCUUGACAACUUUAACAGUUCCAAGAAACAGCUAACAUUGAAAACAACAGAGAAGGCAAUGCCAGGUUUCCCAACAGUCUGUCAUCCUCACCAGCUUCAGCAAUCUUGAAGAUGUCAGCUUUGGAAAUAUCACUGGUCAUGGCCAAGUCGCUUAGCUCAUUCCAAGCCUAAGACAGGUAUUCUGUACACAGAGAGCAAUAAUUGUAAUUGCAGCUUAAAGACCAGGGUCUUCAAAAAUAAAACUCUGAACAUGCUAAACAGGCAUCUGACUUAGAAGGGACUUUCCUUCUUUCUUAUCUCUGGGCAACCCUUCCUGAAAAACUAAAACAAAACAAAAAACAAACCAACAUGCCUUCUUAACAGUAUUAAACAGCCAUAAGUUGGGGCCUUUGAGUAUGCUUCAACUUUGCAGUAUUUUUGAUAAAGAAAAAAAGAUGGUAGCUGUAUUUAAUACAUCCUUUCUAUUAAGAACGUGCUUCAGGUGAUGAGAGGAUUAUAGUAUUGACAAAAGAGAUUCCACUGCUGUAAAACAUGUUUUCAGAACUAGUUUUGAUAGUGCUAAUGACAGCCAUUUUUAAAUUGGAAAAAUUUCCUAAGGAAAACCAUCAAAACAUGGGAAACCAUCAGUCUCCUAUUCAAUAAAGGUGGCAAAAUAAAAUGGAGAAAACUCACUGCUGCUUGAGUGGAGAAUCUCACAUUUAUCUUGAUGAAUUUCAUCUUGUUGUUUGGGAGAGAAUUUUACCAGUUGUGAUGUUCAGUAUAAUCCUGUUUUCUAGCAUACUUGUAAUACCGCUUUUCAUGCAAUUUCGCUUUUUUUUAUCGUGAAAGAAUUCUGUUUAAUUCAAAAUCUUAGAGAGUUUUUUGUACAUCCUGCCUACAUCAUUAUCUAUGUUUCCACUGAAUAAAACCUGAAGGCUGAAACAAACAAA
Molecule: long non-coding RNA, 2375 nt
Organism: Centrocercus urophasianus (Greater sage-grouse)
Lineage: Eukaryota; Metazoa; Chordata; Aves; Galliformes; Phasianidae
Exons: 2
Source: RefSeq, a predicted model, not a curated record